CUUGUACAUCAUCAUCGCACCAACUAAGUUUCAACUAAAGGAAGCAGUAUUUCCUUUUCUUAUCCAUAUCAUCCAGAUAACAAGUAUUAUCGCAUUGUACCGUUAACCUGCAAAAGUUUAUUUUUGCAAUAUUGAGCUCGACAACUCAAUAAAUCUAACAAUUUUCAUGCAUCAUAUAGCACAUACUUUCAUGCUCAACAUAUAUCUCAAUUUAAAACAGUUAUAAGAUUUCCUACUCAGCAUAUAUCUCAAUUUAAAAUGAAUAUAAAUUUCACAUGCUCAACAUAUCGCAUAUCACAUAUUGAGUUCCAUAACUCAAUCAAAUAUAGUCAUAAUUUGACUUUCGAAAUUCACACACACCUCUUAUGUAAUAUCACAUGCUCAUAGUAGUAUAGUUUAUAAACUAUCCAUAUCCAAUUCAUUUGCAAAUAGGAACUGGAAGACUUGCCUUUGUUUGCGUAAAUUGAUAUACGCUCAUCGAGCAUCAUUCGCAUAACCUCAUUCAAUCUCCACAUCGGGUUAUAACAUGUUCCAUAAUCUCAUUUGAGACUUAAUAGAUAGCUAAAUAGAUUUAUAAAUCUUAACUUGCACUAUGUGUUAUAUUAAAAAUCCCACAUAUUAAUUUCAUACUUUCAUAACCUUAACUUCAUACUUCUUAUUUGGUGCCUUACAAAUUUCAUGUCCACCUCAAGUUUUUGUUAUUUAACACCCAAUAUAUUUUACAGACAUACUUCUUGUUCCAAUGACCUUUUCCUCUAUAUAUUCUGAUUUAUAAUACUCAUUUCUUUUUGGGUUAGUCUACCAGAGUAUAUGUUUCUCUAAGAUGAUACUCCCUCCGUUCCUAAAAGAUUGUCGUUUAAGGUUUUGACACAUGGAUUAAAGAAAUGUCAUUUACCAAGUAAAAUUUGUUUGAAAUUCCAUCACUACCCCUUUAUGGGAAAUUGAAAACUAUUAAUACAAGGGAGAGAAUUUCUUGGGACAAUAAGAGAAAAUAGGGAUAAUAUAGGAAAGUAAAUAAUUUAUUCGCCUCGAAAGUUGUAAACGACAAACUUUUUGGAACAAAUUUUUUCUCCUAAAACAACAAUCUUUUAGGAACGGAGGGAGUAAUAAACGAAAACAGGAGAGGCGUAAGUCUUACAAGGCAACUCCUCACAAGUGUGCAAAAUCCACUAACUGAACAAUCUGCCUAACAAAUGUAACCUCUCAAUUUUAUUGAUUUCAACAUUCCCAACUUUUAGCCACUUCCUCACGCUAACCCCAUCAAGACAUGAUUCAAGAUCUCCUCUAUCAGAUCAUUUCUCUAAUUUGGCACUUAAUCUCAAUGGUGCAUCAAAUGAUACCUUGAACCUUACUACAAUUUGGUUUUUUUUUACUAUACAUAUUUAGUGAUUUACCUAUAUUAAAUUCCUAAAAAGCCAUCAGACCUCAAACCUUUAAAGAACCAAGAGCUUCUAGUACAAGAAAUUUGUGUAAGCUUGUUAUAGGUCAUUUACUAAACUGUGUUACUUCUUAGAGCUUUUGGACACUAAAGGAAGGAGUUCAUUUUAUUGGCUUCUAGUUUUACCCAUACUUAAAUGGGUCCAAAUUUCACAAUCAAAUAAAGUUUCAGUUUUUUUUUUCCAGCAUAAGAGCAUUACUACGAAUAUAACAAGUUUAAGGUAAAUCAGUUAGCAAAUUGUCCAAAUAAAAAAAUAAUUUAUUUCAUAACACAACCAUAUGCAAAUUUAUUUAUAAUAUAUUUCAACUCAUGAAUUUAUUUCAUGAAUAUUUAAACCAAAUUCCUCAUUUAGGCAUUCUCACAAAUACCUUACAUGCAUUGUUUAAAAACUUAGUUUUCAUACUAAUUUAAACAAACUUAUCAUCCAAGUUCACACUCAAUUCCAUCCUUAUUACCCCAGAAUACUUCUAAUUAUUUCAUCACAUAACUUCCCACAACAAUCACAUCAAUAAUCACAUAUAUUAUCUACUUUAAUUUUUACAAUUUAACAUAUAAAUGUUAAUUACCUCUUACUUGAUAUAAGGUUGCUUUGGAAUGGAUUUGAAUCCUUUCCUCGAUAAUAUCUUGCUCAAAUUCUUCUUCAAUUCGGUUAAUAGCUUCUGUUCUUAGAGAAAUUGGUGGGGUUUUAGUAGGAAUUAUGGAGCCUAGAUGUUGGUAAUUUGAGAAUUGAAAAUUUUUGGGCAUGGGUCUUGUUAUGGAACGGAUGAAAAAGAAGAAUGAGAGAGCUGAAGAUUAACUUAUGUCUCCUUAGCUCUCUUUAUUCCAUCAUAUGCAUGUUUAGUAUCUUGGUAUUAGCCUAAUCAAAGGCCACCUCCUGCUUAGCUUAAAAAUGACUCAUCACAUAUGCAUUCAAAUUUUUUUAUUCUCAACAUUGUUUUGCAUAUUACAUCUCACAUAUUUUAGCUUUUAAUUUGCAGCACUUUCCACUAUCAAUU
RNAcentral lists this long non-coding RNA (2433 nucleotides) under Panax ginseng (ginseng). Its description in RNAcentral is "long non-coding RNA (PGIN_LNC015055)". The record is from RNAcentral. Lineage: Eukaryota; Viridiplantae; Streptophyta; Magnoliopsida; Apiales; Araliaceae.